UACAGAGGUCCCGAGCGUUGUUCGGAUUCACUGGGCGUAAAGGGUGCGUAGGUGGCGGGGCAAGUUUGAUGUGAAAGCUCAGGGCUUAACCCUGAAAUGGCAUUGAAUACUGCUUUGCUGGAGGUUUGGAGGGGGGACUGGAAUUCUUGGUGUAGCAGUGAAAUGCGUAGAUAUCAAGAGGAACACCUGCGGCGAAGGCGGGUUGCUGGGCCGACACUGACGCUGAGGCGCGAAAGCCAGGGGAGCGAACGGG
Molecule: ribosomal RNA, 253 nt
Filed under: uncultured bacterium
Lineage: Bacteria
Description: partial 16S ribosomal RNA
Rfam family: Bacterial small subunit ribosomal RNA
Source: RNAcentral